CAAGCUACUUCAAGUAAUGUGACAAACCAAAUAAGCAGCGCAAGCCUGUGCUACCUAGGUGAUGGAUUUGUUUAGUUCCUUAUUGCUGAGAUGAUCAGAACUGGAAGAAAGGAACACUCAGAGACAGGUACUGUUCUGUGAGAAGACUGAGAACUCUGCUUUAAAGGGGCUUGUUUUUGUCAGUGAUGGCGCUUCAGGAUACAGAAUUUAUGGCCACUUUGUACUCCAAGGAGACAGAAAAGUUACUUUCUUAACAAAGUGUCAUGACUGCAGCUACAAUGAUGAUUUCCUGGAAUGUCUGGGGCAUCAACACUCCAACUAAAAGAACAAAG
This is a long non-coding RNA of Acipenser ruthenus (sterlet), 332 nucleotides long. RefSeq lists it as uncharacterized. NCBI's taxonomy places the organism in Eukaryota, Metazoa, Chordata, Actinopteri, Acipenseriformes, Acipenseridae. The transcript is spliced from 3 exons. The record is from RefSeq and is a predicted model, not a curated record.